UGGCAAGCUAGGUCGGGAGGGUAGCCGUCUCCUGCACUCUAAACCGGCUUAGAGAGGACUGAAGGCCUGGAGCGGUGGGACUCAUGCGGGCCGCGCCGCUUAGGAACGACGACCUUCUGUCCUUGAGGGCUUUGCGAGCGGGAAUCAUGUCAGGUCCGGAAGGAAGCAGCAUUAACCGUCCGCGUAAGUGUCUUGAGGGUUGCGGAAGCGAGAACUUGGGCGGAAAUACACGGUUUGCGUGAGUUUCAUCCAUUCGGGCCGUGCUUGCCA
RNAcentral lists this signal recognition particle RNA (270 nucleotides) under Nanobdellota archaeon. RNAcentral's name for it is "Nanoarchaeota archaeon signal recognition particle sRNA". It matches the Rfam family "Archaeal signal recognition particle RNA". The record is from RNAcentral. Lineage: Archaea; Nanobdellati; Nanobdellota.